RNAcentral lists this ribosomal RNA (494 nucleotides) under uncultured bacterium. Its description in RNAcentral is "partial 16S ribosomal RNA". It matches the Rfam family "Bacterial small subunit ribosomal RNA", at positions 28 to 507 of the family's 1533-position model. The record is from RNAcentral.
GACGAACGCUGGCGGCGUGCUUAACACAUGCAAGUCGAACGGUGAAGCGCCUUCCUUUUUGGUGGGUGUGGAUGAGUGGCGAACGGGUGAGUAACACGUGAGUAACCUGCCCCCUUCUUCUGGAUAACCGCAUGAAAGUGUGGCUAAUACGGGAUAUUCUGGUUCUGUCGCAUGAUGGGUCUGGGAAAGAUAUUGUUUCGGUGGGGGAUGGGCUCGCGGCCUAUCAGCUUGUUGGUGGGGUGAUGGCCUACCAAGGCGGUGACGGGUAGCCGGCCUGAGAGGGUGGACGGUCACACUGGGACUGAGACACUGACCCGACUCAUAAGGGGCGCAGCAGUGGAUAAUAUUGGACGAUGGGAGAGAGGCUGAUGCAGCGACGCCGCGUGAGGGAUGGAGGCCUGCGGGUUGUGAACCUCUUUCGCCAGUGAAGCAGGCCUGCCUAGUUUGUGGGUGGGUUGACGGUAGCUGGAUAAGAAGCGCCGGCUAACUACGUG